This is an RNA transcript of Panicum virgatum (switchgrass), 1671 nucleotides long. It is a transcript of the gene named probable N-succinyldiaminopimelate aminotransferase DapC, with no coding region annotated. The transcript is spliced from 9 exons. Lineage: Eukaryota; Viridiplantae; Streptophyta; Magnoliopsida; Poales; Poaceae. The record is from RefSeq and is a predicted model, not a curated record.
CAGCAGCCCAUACUGCUAGCUCAGCUCAGCUGUGCUGACCCUGACCUCACCUUAUCCGAACACCCACCACGCGGCGAAGCCGGAGCGCGCGCGGGCGGCGACGCGAUGGAGCGGAGGCUGUCGGCGGCGUCGAGGCGGUCCGCGCCGUCGCGCAUCCAGCAGCUGUCCCACCUGGCGCAGCGCGUCGGCGCCGUCAACCUCGCCGAGGGCUUCCCGGACUUCCCCGCGCCUCCCCACGUCAAGGCCGCCGCCGCCGCCGCCAUCGCCGCCGACCACAACCAGUACAGGCAUGUGCAGGGCAUCUGCGACAUCCUCGCGGAGACGGCGAAACGGGACCACGGCCUCGACGCCGACCCGCUCACGGACUUCGUCAUCUGCUGCGGGCAAUCGGAAGCGUUCGCCGCUGCCAUCUUUGCAAUAAUAGAUCCAGGGGAUGAGGUUUUGCUCUUCGACCCUGCUUACGAAACGUACGAGACAUGCAUUGAACUGGCCCGAGGUGUCCCUGUGUAUGUGCCAUUGGAUCCACCUUCUUGGACUCUGAACCAAGAUGAAUUCUUGAAAUCUUUUACAAGUCGAACGAAGGCGGUGGUCUUGAACAGCCCGCACAAUCCAACAGGGAAGGUCUUCAGCAAAGAGGAGUUGCUUAUUAUUGCCCAAGCUUGUCAGAAAAUGGAUUGCUUUGCAAUAACUGAUGAGGUUUAUGAGUAUAUUACUUAUGAUGAGAACAAGCAUAUCUCACUGGCUUCUCUUCCAGGGAUGCAAGAGAGGACCAUCAUCACAUCCUCACUAUCUAAAACUUACAGCGUAACUGGUUGGAGAAUUGGGUGGGCUUGUGCUCCAGCAAGCAUUGCCUCAGCAAUAAGAAAUAUCCAUGUCAAACUAACAGAUUCAGCUCCUGCACCAUUCCAAGAAGCUGCACUGAUCGCAUUAACCAGCACACCGGACUUCUAUUCGUCCCUGAAAAAAGACUAUGAGGUGAGAAGAGACUUCAUCCUUUUGCUGCUGAAAGAUUUUGGCUUUCACAUCAGCUUCAAGCCACAAGGUUCAGUCUUUGUAUUUGCUGAGCUGCCCUCGUCCUGCCAAAUUUCUGAUGUGAGUUCCUAUGCUAUGAUCCUGAACUAAAUCUGAAACAUGAAUAGGAGAUGCCACUAAUAUCUGACACUUAUGGAAUUCGAAACAACAAGUAGCUGGUGCAGGAAAUUUGUGCGCAGAACAUGAUAUUCUAAUACUGAUAGAUUUCGUAACGAACUUGAUCAAUGGCGCCGGUGUGGCAGCUGUGCCUGGCCGUGGGUUCUUCCACAGAAAUUGUGACGGUGAAAGCUACCAUCACCGGUACGUCAGGUUUGCGUUCUGCAAGAGCGAUGACACACUGAUGGCUGCUGCUCUAAGGAUGAGGAAGCUGGCGGACACCAAGGGAAAGACGUGCCUUACUGGCAGUGGCAAACAAGAGGAUCAGACUGUCUCUGCCUCUCAUUGAUGCGGUUCUGCUUGAAUGUGCAUCCUGGUGCGGUUUUGUUUGAAUAGAUUUAUUCUUUUUGUAGUUUCUGGGUAGAAGUUUGAUGUUAUGCAGUGCUUCUUUACGUGGACAACAAGAACAAAAAAAAGGAACCUUUAUUCAUUUCAUCUUUUCUCAUGCAUUCAAAAUGGUUACAAGGAGGAUGUACAAUAUGA